This is a non-coding RNA of Vicugna pacos (alpaca), 99 nucleotides long. Lineage: Eukaryota; Metazoa; Chordata; Mammalia; Artiodactyla; Camelidae. The record is from RefSeq and is a predicted model, not a curated record.
CAUUGCUUCUAAAACAGGAAUCUACAUACAAGUCCUUGGGAGAUGAUGUUAAAAGUAGGCUCUGAUGUAGUAGGGAGGGAGCGGAAGAGCACUCGUCUG